GAUGAACGCUGGCGGCGUGCCUAAUACAUGCAAGUCGAGCGAACGGACGAGAAGCUUGCUUCUCUGAUGUUAGCGGCGGACGGGUGAGUAACACGUGGAUAACCUACCUAUAAGACUGGGAUAACUUCGGGAAACCGGAGCUAAUACCGGAUAAUAUUUUGAACCGCAUGGUUCAAAAGUGAAAGACGGUCUUGCUGUCACUUAUAGAUGGAUCCGCGCUGCAUUAGCUAGUUGGUAAGGUAACGGCUUACCAAGGCAACGAUGCAUAGCCGACCUGAGAGGGUGAUCGGCCACACUGGAACUGAGACACGGUCCAGACUCCUACGGGAGGCAGCAGUAGGGAAUCUUCCGCAAUGGGCGAAAGCCUGACGGAGCAACGCCGCGCGAGUGAUGAAGGUCUUCGGAUCGUAAAACUCUGUUAUUAGGGAAGAACAUAUGUGUAAGUAACUGUUCACAUCUUGACGGUACCUAAUCAGAAAGCCACGGCUAACUACGUG
This 497-nucleotide ribosomal RNA is filed under the name uncultured bacterium. RNAcentral's name for it is "partial 16S ribosomal RNA". It matches the Rfam family "Bacterial small subunit ribosomal RNA", at positions 28 to 507 of the family's 1533-position model. The record is from RNAcentral.